AAGACCCACCAGUCUUCCCUGCUCAUUCUUGAUCAGGAUGAGACUGAUAUCCUAUGAAAUGCAACAGAAUCAGCUCCUGGAAUUGUGUUAGCAGAAUGACAGGAGUAUGAGAUCCACCACAUGGCAGGGCGCCCCAGGAACCUGCUUUCUUCUUGAAGAGCAACUGAAAACUAUUUCCAAAUUAUCCUUCAUUUUGAGCCAGGCAAUGGUCAGGUGGAGUAAAACAUAGGGAAGAAUGUCUUUUUGGUUCAAAGAAUAAAAAAAAAAAUUGGGCCAACAUGUAGGUGAUUGAUUUCUGCCUGGACUGAGGAUUCAGGAGAAGAUGUGCGGAACACAGCCUGAACAUGCCCCAACCUGGCUGACAAAUUCCACCCCAAAGAGUGGAAGAAACACACCUACAACAUAAGCAGAAAGUAUUUUUCUUCCGUACUUUCUAGGACUUGAAGCUGCUUUGUUUUUUGGUUGCUGGGUGGGGAAGAAGGAACUAUAAUAUAGCUUCCAGAAGAGAGAAGAGAGUUCUCUCUUGAGUGUGAAUUUAGCAGUACCAAGAGGCCUCAAAAUAGCUCUCUUUCCUGCUUGAAAUUCUACUGUUAAGAGUUUUUCUUUAGGUUUAAAACCUUGAAAGCUCCAUAAUGCUCCUGAGUCAAACAAUAAAGCCAUUAGUAGUCAAUGACUUUAAUUUUUUUUUCAUUUCAAUUUUAGAUCUAAUUUUAUCUGACUCCUAAAAACAUGUUUUAUAUUUUCAUGAGGACUUGGCCCAUAUGUGUAAACAGUUUAAACAUCUUAAUUUGUUGGCUGAACUAGCCCAAAUUGUCAAAUUUUUUUAGGCAAGAGUGGAUUUCAUCAAAUUGGUUGACCCACCAUUUCCUAAAUUCAUCAUUGAUUGAUUAU
Long non-coding RNA from Saimiri boliviensis boliviensis (Bolivian squirrel monkey), 891 nucleotides. RefSeq lists it as uncharacterized. NCBI's taxonomy places the organism in Eukaryota, Metazoa, Chordata, Mammalia, Primates, Cebidae. The record is from RefSeq and is a predicted model, not a curated record.